CUGGCUCAGAACGAACGCUGGUGGCGUGUCUUAUACAUGCAAGUCGAGCGAGGCAGCAAUGCCGAGCGGCGAACGGGUGAGUAACGCGUAAGCAAUCUGCCCCAUAUCAGGAAAUACCCGUGCCAACGCGCGGUUAAUGUCCAGGAGAGUGGCCUUCCGCAUGGAGGGUUGACUAGAGAUUUAUCGGUAUGGGAUGAGCUUGCGUCCGAUUAGCUAGUUGGCGGGGCAACGGCCCACCAAGGCGACGAUCGGUAGCCGGCCUGAGAGGGUGAUCGGCCACAUUGGGACUGAGAUACGGCCCAGACUCCUACGGGAGGCAGCAGUAGGGAAUAUUGCACAAUGGGGGAAACCCUGAUGCAGCAACGCCACGUGUGGGAAGAAGCAUUUCGGUGUGUAAACCACUGUCAUGAGGGAAUAAGGCCCUUAUUCGUAAGGGAUUGAAUGUACCUUGAGAGGAAGCACCGGCAAACUUCGUGCCAGCCGCCGC
RNAcentral lists this ribosomal RNA (487 nucleotides) under uncultured bacterium. Its description in RNAcentral is "bacterial SSU rRNA". It matches the Rfam family "Bacterial small subunit ribosomal RNA", at positions 19 to 518 of the family's 1533-position model. The record is from RNAcentral.